This 253-nucleotide ribosomal RNA is filed under the name uncultured bacterium. RNAcentral's name for it is "partial 16S ribosomal RNA". It matches the Rfam family "Bacterial small subunit ribosomal RNA", at positions 524 to 776 of the family's 1533-position model. The record is from RNAcentral.
UACGGAGGGGGCAAGCGUUGUUCGGAUUUACUGGGCGUAAAGGGCGCCUAGGUGGCUCUAUAAGUUGGAUGUGAAAUCCCUCGGCUCAACUGAGGAAUAGCAUUCAAAACUGCAGAGCUAGAGUGUGAGAGAGGAAAGCGGAAUUCCUAGUGUAGCGGUGAAAUGCGUAGAUAUUAGGAGGAACACCGGUGGCGAAAGCGGCUUUCUGGCUCAACACUGACACUCAAGCGCGAAGGCUAGGGGAGCAAACGGG